GAUGAACGCUGGCGGCGUGCCUAAUACAUGCAAGUCGAGCGAACAGACGAGGAUCUUGCUCCUCUGACGUUAGCGGCGGACGGGUGAGUAACACGUGGAUAACCUACCUAUAAGACUGGGAUAACUUCGGGAAACCGGAGCUAAUACCGGAUAACAUGCUGAACCGCAUGGUUCAACAGUGAAAGACGGUCUUGCUGUCACUUAUAGAUGGAUCCGCGCCGCAUUAGCUAGUUGGUAAGGUAACGGCUUACCAAGGCAACGAUGCCUAGCCGACCUGAGAGAGGGAUCGGCCACACUGGAGCUGAGCCGCGGUCCAGACUCCUACGGGAGGCAGCAGUAGGGAAUCUUCCGCAAUGGUGGAAAGCCUGGCAGAGCAACGCCGCGUGAGUGGAGAAGGUCUUCGGAUCGUAAAACUCUGUUAUUAGGGAAGAACAAAUGUGUAAGUAACUAUGCACGUCUUGACGGUACCUGAUCAGAAAGCCACGGCUAACUACGUG
RNAcentral lists this ribosomal RNA (497 nucleotides) under uncultured bacterium. RNAcentral describes it as "partial 16S ribosomal RNA". It matches the Rfam family "Bacterial small subunit ribosomal RNA", at positions 28 to 507 of the family's 1533-position model. The record is from RNAcentral.